CCAGCAUUGAAAGAGUGCUGAAUAGCUCACUAGUCGAGUGACACUGCGCCGAAAAUGUACCGGGGCUAAACAUAUUACCGAAGCUGUGGAUUGUCCUUUGGACAAUGGUAGGAGAGCGUUCUAAGGGCGUCGAAGCAUGAUCGCAAGGACAUGUGGAGCGCUUAGAAGUGAGAAUGCCGGUGUGAGUAGCGAAAGACGGGUGAGAAUCCCGUCCACCGAUUGACUAAGGUUUCCAGAGGAAGGCUCGUCCGCUCUGGGUUAGUCGGGUCCUAAGCUGAGGCCGACAGGCGUAGGCGAUGGAUAACAGGUUGAUAUUCCUGUACCACCUAGUAUCGUUUUAAUCGAUGGGGGGACGCAGUAGGAUAGGCGAAGCGUGCUGUUGGAGUGCACGUCCAAGCAGUAAGGCUGAGUGUUAGGCAAAUCCGGCACUCAUAAGGCUGAGCUGUGAUGGGGAGAGGAAAUUGUUUCCUCGAGUCGUUGAUUUCACACUGCCGAGAAAAGCCUCUAGAUAGAUAACAGGUGCCCGUACCGCAAACCGACACAGGUAGUCAAGAUGAGAAUUCUAAGGUGAGCGAGCGAACUCUCGUUAAGGAACUCGGCAAAAUGACCCCGUAACUUCGGGAGAAGGGGUGCUCUUUAGGGUUCACGCCCAGAAGAGCCGCAGUGAAUAGGCCCAAGCGACUGUUUAUCAAAAACACAGGUCUCUGCUAAACCGUAAGGUGAUGUAUAGGGGCUGACGCCUGCCCGGUGCUGGAAGGUUAAGAGGAGUGGUUAGCUUCUGCGAAGCUACGAAUCGAAGCCCCAGUAAACGGCGGCCGUAACUAUAACGGUCCUAAGGUAGCGAAAUUCCUUGUCGGGUAAGUUCCGACCCGCACGAAAGGCGUAACGAUUUGGGCACUGUCUCAACGAGAGACUCGGUGAAAUCAUAGUACCUGUGAAGAUGCAGGUUACCCGCGACAGGACGGAAAGACCCCGUGGAGCUUUACUGUAGCCUGAUAUUGAAAUUCGGCACAGCUUGUACAGGAUAGGUAGGAGCCUUUGAAACGUGAGCGCUAGCUUACGUGGAGGCGUUGGUGGGAUACUACCCUAGCUGUGUUGGCUUUCUAACCCGCACCACUUAUCGUGGUGGGAGACAGUGUCAGGCGGGCAGUUUGACUGGGGCGGUCGCCUCCUAAAAGGUAACGGAGGCGCUCAAAGGUUCCCUCAGAAUGGUUGGAAAUCAUUCAUAGAGUGUAAAGGCAUAAGGGAGCUUGACUGCGAGACCUACAAGUCGAGCAGGGUCGAAAGACGGACUUAGUGAUCCGGUGGUUCCGCAUGGAAGGGCCAUCGCUCAACGGAUAAAAGCUACCCCGGGGAUAACAGGCUUAUCUCCCCCAAGAGUUCACAUCGACGGGGAGGUUUGGCACCUCGAUGUCGGCUCAUCGCAUCCUGGGGCUGUAGUCGGUCCCAAGGGUUGGGCUGUUCGCCCAUUAAAGCGGUACGCUAGCUGGGUUCAGAACGUCGUGAGACAGUUCGGUCCCUAUCCGUCGUGGGCGUAGGAAAUUUGAGAGGAGCUGUCCUUAGUACGAGAGGACCGGGAUGGACAUACCUCUGGUGUACCAGUUGUCGUGCCAACGGCAUAGCUGGGUAGCUAUGUAUGGACGGGAUAAGUGCUGAAAGCAUCUAAGCAUGAAGCCCCCCUCAAGAUGAGAUUUCCCAACUUCGGUUAUAAGAUCCCUCGAAGAUGACGAGGUUAAUAGGUUCGAGGUGGAAGCGUGGUGACACGUGGAGCUGACGAAUACUAAUCGAUCGAAGACUUAAUCAAUUUUUAAA
This 1812-nucleotide ribosomal RNA is filed under the name Staphylococcus epidermidis. RNAcentral's name for it is "bacterial LSU rRNA". It matches the Rfam family "Bacterial large subunit ribosomal RNA", at positions 1116 to 2925 of the family's 2925-position model. Lineage: Bacteria; Bacillati; Bacillota; Bacilli; Caryophanales; Staphylococcaceae. The record is from RNAcentral.